GUCCCGGUCUCAUCGCGAGACGGGGCGCACCCAGAGCGUACACGCUGGGACCCGAAAGAUGGUGAACUAUGCCUGGUCAGGACGAAGUCAGGGGAAACCCUGAUGGAGGUCCGUAGCGAUUCUGACGUGCAAAUCGAUCGUCGGAACUGGGUAUAGCGGCGAAAGACUAAUCGAACCAUCUAGUAGCUGGUUCCCUCCGAAGUUUCCCUCAGGAUAGCUGGCGCUCGUCUUUGAACGAGUUUCAUCCGGUAAAGCGAAUGAUUAGAGGCAUUGGGGUCGAAACGGCCUCAACCUAUUCUCAAACUUUAAAUGGGUGAGAUCUCCGGCCUGCUCGAACGGUGAGGCCGCGAGAUUUCGAAUC
Molecule: ribosomal RNA, 361 nt
Filed under: Limnebius gerhardti
Lineage: Eukaryota; Metazoa; Arthropoda; Insecta; Coleoptera; Hydraenidae
Description: eukaryotic LSU rRNA
Rfam family: Eukaryotic large subunit ribosomal RNA
Source: RNAcentral